AUCCAGAUGACGAGUCCCAAACAGGACGAAACGCGCGUCCUGGAU
Schistosoma mansoni is the source of this 45-nucleotide non-coding RNA. The record is from Rfam. Lineage: Eukaryota; Metazoa; Platyhelminthes; Trematoda; Strigeidida; Schistosomatidae.